GAUGAACGCUGGCGGCGUGCUUAACACAUGCAAGACGAACGGUGAAGCAGGAGCUUGCUCUUGUGGAUCAGUGGCGAACGGGUGAGUAACACGUGAGCAACCUGCCCCUGACUCUGGGAUAAGCGCUGGAAACGGCGUCUAAUACUGGAUAUGUGAUGUGACCGCAUGGUCUGCAUCUGGACAGAAUGUCGGUUGGGGAUGGGCUCGCGGCCUAUCAGCUUGUUGGUAAGGUAAUGGCUCACCAAGGCGUCGGCGGGUAGCCGGCCUGAGAGGGUGACCGGCCACACUGGGACUGAGACACGGCCCAGACUCCUACGGGAGGCAGCAGUGGGGAAUAUUGCACAAUGGGCGGAAGCCUGAUGCAGCAACGCCGCGUGAGGGAUGACGGCCUUCGGGUUGUAAACCUCUUUUAGCAGGGAAGAAGCGAAAGUGACGUUACCUGCAGAAAAAGCACCGGCUAACUACGUGCCAGCCGCCGCCGUAA
Molecule: ribosomal RNA, 484 nt
Filed under: uncultured bacterium
Lineage: Bacteria
Description: partial 16S ribosomal RNA
Rfam family: Bacterial small subunit ribosomal RNA
Source: RNAcentral